Molecule: long non-coding RNA, 247 nt
Filed under: Lathyrus oleraceus (garden pea)
Lineage: Eukaryota; Viridiplantae; Streptophyta; Magnoliopsida; Fabales; Fabaceae
Description: Pisum sativum (pea) long non-coding RNA (PSAT_LNC008220)
Source: RNAcentral
UUUGGAACUGAAAAUGGGUGAAAGAGAUUUAUGUGUUUGUUUUAUUUUGAUGAAAGAUUGGUAUGAAGAAGUAAAGAGGGGACCACGUGGGAAAGAAGAAAAGAGACAAAUCCUCUUUUUCUCUCUGACUUGCUUUUGUUAUAUUUUGGUUUAUUAUUAUUUAUUUAUUUUUAGAAUAAUGCCACAUGUAGCCAUUUGAUUCGUUAGGUUAACUCUUUUUUUUUAAUAAAAAAAAUCAUGCCUUGAC